AGAGUUUGAUCCUGGCUCAGAACGAACGCUGGCGGCAGGCUUAACACAUGCAAGUCGAGCGCACUCUUCGGGACCGAGCGGCGGACGGGUUAGUAACGCGUGGGAACGUGCCCUUCUCUAAGGAAUAGCCUCGGGAAACUGAGAGUAAUACCUUAUACGCCCUUCGGGGGAAAGAUUUAUCGGAGAAGGAUCGGCCCGCGUUAGAUUAGAUAGUUGGUGGGGUAAUGGCCUACCAAGUCUACGAUCUAUAGCUGGUUUUAGAGGAUGAUCAGCAACACUGGGACUGAGACACGGCCCAGACUCCUACGGGAGGCAGCAGUGGGGAAUCUUGGACAAUGGGCGCAAGCCUGAUCCAGCCAUGCCGCGUGAGUGAUGAAGGCCUUAGGGUCGUAAAGCUCUUUCGCCAGAGAUGAUAAUGACAGUAUCUGGUAAAGAAACCCCGCUAACU
This 448-nucleotide ribosomal RNA is filed under the name uncultured bacterium. Its description in RNAcentral is "bacterial SSU rRNA". It matches the Rfam family "Bacterial small subunit ribosomal RNA", at positions 8 to 502 of the family's 1533-position model. The record is from RNAcentral.